AGAGUUUGAUCAUGCCUCAGGAUGAACGCUGGCGGCGUGCUUAACACAUGCAAGUCGAACGGUGAACACGGAGCUUGCUCUGUGGGAUCAGUGGCGAACGGGUGAGUAACACGUGAGCAACCUGCCCCUGACUCUGGGAUAAGCGCUGGAAACGGCGUCUAAUACUGGAUAUGUGACGUGACCGCAUGGUCUGCGUCUGGAAAGAAUUUCGGUUGGGGAUGGGCUCGCGGCCUAUCAGCUUGUUGGUGAGGUAAUGGCUCACCAAGGCGUCGACGGGUAGCCGGCCUGAGAGGGUGACCGGCCACACUGGGACUGAGACACGGCCCAGACUCCUACGGGAGGCAGCAGUGGGGAAUAUUGCACAAUGGGCGCAAGCCUGAUGCAGCAACGCCGCGUGAGGGACGACGGCCUUCGGGUUGUAAACCUCUUUUAGCAGGGAAGAAGCGAAAGUGACGGUACCUGCAGAAAAAGCGCCGGCUAACUACGUGCCAGCAGCCGCGGUAAUACGUAGGGCGCAAGCGUUAUCCGGAAUUAUUGGGCGUAAAGAGCUCGUAGGCGGUUUGUCGCGUCUGCUGUGAAAUCCGGAGGCUCAACCUCCGGCCUGCAG
This 607-nucleotide ribosomal RNA is filed under the name uncultured bacterium. Its description in RNAcentral is "bacterial SSU rRNA". It matches the Rfam family "Bacterial small subunit ribosomal RNA", at positions 8 to 626 of the family's 1533-position model. The record is from RNAcentral.